UACGAAGGGGGCUAGCGUUGCUCGGAAUCACUGGGCGUAAAGGGUGCGUAGGUGGGUCUUUAAGUCAGAGGUGAAAUCCUGGAGCUCAACUCCAGAACUGCCUUUGAUACUGAGGAUCUUGAGUUCGGGAGAGGUGAGUGGAACUGCGAGUGUAGAGGUGAAAUUCGUAGAUAUUCGCAAGAACACCAGUGGCGAAGGCGGCUGACUGGUCCGGUUCUGACGCUGAGGCGCGAAAGCGUGGGGAGCAAACAGG
RNAcentral lists this ribosomal RNA (253 nucleotides) under uncultured bacterium. Its description in RNAcentral is "partial 16S ribosomal RNA". It matches the Rfam family "Bacterial small subunit ribosomal RNA", at positions 524 to 776 of the family's 1533-position model. The record is from RNAcentral.